RNAcentral lists this ribosomal RNA (492 nucleotides) under uncultured bacterium. RNAcentral describes it as "partial 16S ribosomal RNA". It matches the Rfam family "Bacterial small subunit ribosomal RNA", at positions 29 to 507 of the family's 1533-position model. The record is from RNAcentral.
AGUGAACGCCGGCGGUAGGCCUAACACAUGCAAGUCGAACGGCAGCACAGUAAGAGCUUGCUCUUACGGGUGGCGAGUGGCGGACGGGUGAGGAAUACAUCGGAAUCUACUUUUUCGUGGGGGAUAACGUAGGGAAACUUACGCUAAUACCGCAUACGACCUACGGGUGAAAGCAGGGGAUCUUCGGACCUUUCGCGAUUGAAUGAGCCGAUGUCGGAUUAGCUAGUUGGCGGGGUAAAGGCCCACCAAGGCGACGAUCCGUAGCUGGUCUGAGAGGAUGAUCAGCCACACUGGAACUGAGACACGGUCCAGACUCCUACGGGAGGCAGCAGUGGGGAAUACUGGACAAUGGGCGCAAGCCUGAUCCAGCCAUACCGCGUGGGUGAAGAAGGCCUUCGGGUUGUAAAGCCCUUUUGUUGGGAAAGAAAAGCAGCAGGUUAAUACCCCGCUGUUCUGACGGUACCCAAAGAAUAAGCACCGGCUAACUUCGUG